AACCACACGAAUCCGUGCUGAGAUUUCGUCAGACACCAACCCAUUAGGGCAGAUCAGACUUCCAAGAUAAGUGAAGAU
RNAcentral lists this microRNA precursor (78 nucleotides) under Schistosoma mattheei. RNAcentral's name for it is "mir-3492 microRNA precursor family". It matches the Rfam family "mir-3492 microRNA precursor family". The record is from Rfam by way of RNAcentral. Lineage: Eukaryota; Metazoa; Platyhelminthes; Trematoda; Strigeidida; Schistosomatidae.